This 240-nucleotide ribosomal RNA is filed under the name uncultured bacterium. Its description in RNAcentral is "partial 16S ribosomal RNA". It matches the Rfam family "Bacterial small subunit ribosomal RNA", at positions 100 to 334 of the family's 1533-position model. The record is from RNAcentral.
CCGGCACGGGUGAGUAACGCGUAUGCAAUCCACCUGUAACAGGGGGAGUAACCCGGAGAAAUCCGGACUAAUACCCCAUAAUAUGGGCGCUCCGCAUGGAGAGCCCAUUAAAGAGAGCAAUUUUGGUUACAGACGAGCAUGCGCUCCAUUAGCCAGUUGGCGGGGUAACGGCCCACCAAGCUCGAUGGAUAGGGGUUCUGAGAGGAAGGUCCCCCACAUUGGAACUGAGACACGGCCCAA